RNAcentral lists this unclassified non-coding RNA (391 nucleotides) under soil metagenome. Its description in RNAcentral is "partial contains 5.8S ribosomal RNA, internal transcribed spacer 2, and large subunit ribosomal RNA". The stretch from base 1 to 122 matches the Rfam family "5.8S ribosomal RNA", at positions 35 to 154 of the family's 154-position model. The record is from RNAcentral.
GAUGAAGAACGCAGCGAAAUGCGAUACUUGGUGUGAAUUGCAGAAUCCCGUGAACCAUCGAGUCUUUGAACGCAAGUUGCGCCCGAAGCCAUUAGGCCGAGGGCACGCCUGCCUGGGCGUCACACGUCGUUGCCCCCCCAUCUACUCCUUCGGGAUUGCGGGGGGCGGAUGAUGGCCUCCCGUGCGCCUCGCCGCGCGGUUGGCAUAAAUGCCAAGUCCUCGGCGACGCACGCCACGACAAUCGGUGGUUGCGAAACCUCGGUUCCCCGUCGUGUGCGGUCGUCGCGCAUCGAGGGCUCGAAAAAAUUGCCGGGUUCCGGCUCGGCUUUCAACGCGACCCCAGGUCAGGCGGGGUUACCCGCUGAAUUUAAGCAUAUCAAUAAGCGGAGGA